RNAcentral lists this ribosomal RNA (876 nucleotides) under Triticum aestivum (bread wheat). RNAcentral's name for it is "partial small subunit ribosomal RNA". The record is from RNAcentral. Lineage: Eukaryota; Viridiplantae; Streptophyta; Magnoliopsida; Poales; Poaceae.
AUGAAUGCUGCUAUGGGAUCUGCUCGUGGUGAUCAACUGGAGGCAGGAUUUGCGAAGCUUCAAGGCGAAGACUUCAAGUACAUCAUGCAAUCUUAUGAAAUCAUCGUGGGACGCAAUUCCAAGAAAGGAAAGGUAGACUUAGAUCUCAACUCCGUUGGCGGAGAUAGGGAUGUUUCCCGCCGCCAUGCACGCAUCUUCUAUGAUUUUCAACACCGCUCGUUUGCCCUUGAGGUUCUGGGCCAACAUGGAUGCUAUGUUCAGAGGGUCCUUCACCGCCCAGGUGAUGAUCCCGUUAAACUGAAGUCCCAGGAUCUCAUUCAGAUCGGACAAACACAAAGACUGUUUACGGUGCCAAUCAAGAUGUCUUCUGCUGAACUGAAGAUCGGGCCUAUCAACGUUGAACGUGGUACGUUAUCAUUGUUACGUACUUAUGCUAUAUCCAUUUCUCUCCUGUAUUGUUUCCUUUCCAAAAAAUUAGAAACUAGAAUGGCAGACAAGGAUGUAGACAAUAUGCUGGAGUAUCAUCUUGCCUCAUGUGUUGCAAUAAUGGUAUCAAUCCAUUGUGAUGCUAGUGGUAGACAAUGGAUGCCUGUGGAACAACUCCAUGCAGAGCUUACUGGAAAGUUCACUGCGAUAUGGCCCUAUGGCAAUGCCCAACAGUACCUGGCACCAGAGGAUGGAUCAUCAACCAGAACAGCAGAGAGGCCAUGGCACAGGCUGUUGGAGCUGCUCAAGAAUCACCCGGAGAGGUUUAUCAUGAGUUCAAUCUCCAGAGGCACAAUAACAUUAGAGUUCGUUUCGCUGGUCAGCUUGGCUGAUAAGUUUUGCUGCCCUGAGGUUGAUCAGGUCACUGCCAGGUUCGUGUCCAAAAAAUAA